UUCGCAAUGCCCGAAAGGGUGACGAAGCGACGCCGCGUGUGGGAUGAAGGCCUUCGGGUUGUAAACCACUGUCGGGAGUUAAGAAUUGUAGGAAUGCUAAUAGUAUUUCUACUUGACUAAGGCUCCGGAGGAAGCCACGGCUAACUCUGUGCCAGCAGCCGCGGUAAUACAGAGGCGGCAAGCGUUGUUCGGAAUUAUUGGGCGUAAAGAGCAUGUAGGCGGCUAUGUAAGUCGGUUGUGAAAGCCUUCCGCUUAACGGAAGAAUGGCGGUCGAAACUGCAUGGCUUGAGUGCGGGAGGGGAGAGUGGAACUUCUGGUGGAGCGGUGAAAUGCGUAGAUAUCAGAAGGAACGUCGGCGGCGAAAGCGACUCUCUAGACCGUAACUGACGCUGAGUGUGCGAAAGCUAGGGGAGCAAACGGGAUUAGAUACCCCGAUAGUCCUAGCCGUAAACGAUGGGCACUAAGUAGAGGGGUUUU
This 477-nucleotide ribosomal RNA is filed under the name anammox bacterium enrichment culture clone EAMX-c32. Its description in RNAcentral is "bacterial SSU rRNA". It matches the Rfam family "Bacterial small subunit ribosomal RNA", at positions 365 to 832 of the family's 1533-position model. The record is from RNAcentral.